Molecule: long non-coding RNA, 358 nt
Organism: Diceros bicornis minor
Lineage: Eukaryota; Metazoa; Chordata; Mammalia; Perissodactyla; Rhinocerotidae
Exons: 3
Source: RefSeq, a predicted model, not a curated record
GAUUCCUGACAGCCCGGGCUAACCUGGUCACCUCACCUGCAGGCAGAAAUCCCGACUUGAACCUGGAAGCCCUGAAGAAAUUCCUGCCACACAGGGAUUGCCACAGAACAGCUUCAUGCCUGUCCAGUUGGGGCAUCUUCUCACUCCUGAAUUCUCCUUGGUUUCUACAGAAAGCUGCAUUCCUGAAGGUGAUUAGGGUAAGGGGCACCAGAGCUCCACAGCAGCCCCAGGGCGGCACCACCAGAACCCUCUUUCCUGCAGGACAUGGACAGAGCUCCUGCCUCUGGGGCCUGGGCUGCUCUCCCCUCCUGCCACCCCCACUGCCCUUCCUCUCCCAGCCCUGGAUCGACUUUCCUGG